This 324-nucleotide ribosomal RNA is filed under the name uncultured eukaryote. RNAcentral describes it as "partial 18S ribosomal RNA". It matches the Rfam family "Eukaryotic small subunit ribosomal RNA", at positions 1470 to 1796 of the family's 1831-position model. The record is from RNAcentral.
CCCUUAGAUGUUCUGGGCCGCACGCGCGCUACACUGAUGCAUUCAACGAGUUUCUUCCUGGUCCGAGAGGAAUGGGUAACCUUUUGAAAGUGCAUCGUGAUAGGGAUAGACUAUUGCAAUUAUUGGUCUUCAACGAGGAAUUCCUAGUAGACGUAGUUCAUCAGACUGCAUCGAUUACGUCCCUGCCCUUUGUACACACCGCCCGUCGCUCCUACCGAUUGAAUGCUCAGGUGAGCCAUUCGGACUUUCAUCAUGCUGGUCUCCAGUUUUGAUGAAGGAAAGUCUUGCGAACCUUAUCAUUUAGAGGAAGUAAAAGUCGUAACA